AAAUAAACAAGUAACAAGCCAUAAAAAGUGCGUGCUGUGCUGUUACGGAAUCCGCCAUCCACUCAGCUUGGUGUCGUCUCACUGGAAGUGCUACGACGCUGAUUUUCAGUGGAUCCGGCAACAGAGAACACAUGUAGGAUGAACUGUCGACGAGCCUUAGAUGACAAGACGAUACGAUCUGUCAUUGAUUCGUCAAUGGCUUGCACCACAACCUGAACAGCAGCGACCGUAUGUGCCAAGCUUGCUGGGACUUGGCUGGAAGACCACAUGUUGAUGCAACAAUUUGACAACAAUUUGACCACGGUUACUACAAAUACUUAUCUCCGCUGUGGGCGCUCUCUUGUGUCACAAGUCAGUCACAACCACACACAAGUCUUCUUCACACGGACUCAUCUAGUGAAUUGAGAAUUUAUAAUGUUAUAAAAGAAUGGAUUAUGCCUCAAACUGUUUGUUGCAGGUAAAGGUAGCAAGUCGCAUAAUGUCAUGUGAUGCUGACAGAGCUGCUGUCCAUAUGGUUUUAGGUCCAUUCAAAGGCACAAGACCUUCCCACUGAGCCUCCAAAUAAUAAAGUAUGAAACAACCAACCUAAACCUUCUAUUGUAAUACGAGACUUAAUGGGAUUAAAUAUUAUAUCCUUGGAGUAAUCGUCUUUAUGAUUGACAUUUGAUUAUUAAAGCAUGGAUCUAGACACGUACAAAAUUCCACAGCAAAGCUUACCGAGGACAUGAUGUUGCUAUAAGAUGUUCUAGAUCUAGGAUUACUGCAUCUUGAGAGAAUAGAUUAUAUGGAAGACCUAGGCGUAUAUACCUACAUGGAUUGGCUAGAAUAGUCUCAUUAACUGCGCAAUGAAGAUCAGCUAUUGGAAAUAAUAUUGUGGAAAACGGUGAACAUUUUGAACACUUGCUCCGUACCACCAAAGCCGGUUUGUCUACCAGCCGAUAAUGCCCGAGUAUUUAUUUUUACCCGUUACGUAUGCACAGCUGUCUGGGCGUCUCACUGCCCGGCCACCAAGGGAAAUCACGAUGAAACUUGCUAGAAAAUCUCCUCUAAACAUGCAUCACGGCGCCCAGCAAGCCCGUAUCGGUAGCCACAAGAACCCGAUUCGCUAUAUUUGGAAUUCAGUCGGUGGAAUCUAGAGAAAUUGCUCGCCCCAAAUAAACUUUUCAAGUAUCAAUACAAAGUACACGAUAAAAGUGCUGUCGCCUUGCGGCGGCGGCGGCAGGAGGAAGGUUUCGUGUGCGUCAAUCCUUAUCUAAAUGAAAUUGUAAUUUACAGUCCUACAAAGUUACAUUUGCGCUUGAGCGUUAGUAACCAACGAUAAGAAGCAUCUAUGGGCCCGGAAAUGGUGCUAUGAAAUAUUAAAGUACAUUCUGUUAGAUUACAAGCGUUGUUAUAUUAAAACGUUUAUCACUUGUUAUGGAAGUCCUAUGUUGGCGAAUUUAUUUAAAUCGCAUUUCAAACCACAUUAUAUUCAGUAGUUUUCAAACUUUAAAGCUCCUCAUGUCAUGUAAUUUUACUACUCUCUACUUACG
Long non-coding RNA from Hyposmocoma kahamanoa, 1532 nucleotides. RefSeq lists it as uncharacterized. The record is from RefSeq and is a predicted model, not a curated record. The transcript has 6 exons. NCBI's taxonomy places the organism in Eukaryota, Metazoa, Arthropoda, Insecta, Lepidoptera, Cosmopterigidae.